CCCAGGCCGAUGUGUAGGUUGGAGUAAUAAUGUACAUAAAGUUGUUUGUCACGUAUUCAACUCAGGGUCACGUUCAAAGGCCACCAGCGGCCGGGCAGGUCAAGGAGUGAAGCAGACCGGAUGUGAGGCAGCAGGGAGUGGUGGAGACUACGGCAAGGCACGGAGCACAGGAUCCAUCCGAAGGGGACAGUCUCGCCAGCUCCAGCUGCAUGUCGCCUUGCAAGAACGCGCACGCCCAGGGUUGUGGGUCCACAUUUUAAGAGAAACCAGGAACGGAGAGGGGUCAGACCGAAGAUGUUGAAUGCGGUUUCUAAUUUGGAAGACAGAGAAGAAACAGAGGCAGGAUCCGUCCUCGGAGCCAAUAAGGAGAAGAAAGGCAUUCGUUAGCGAGAAGGGGUAGGAAAGGCCCUGCGCCCUGGGUCCUAAGUUCAGGGCUCUGGGCUCUGCUUUGCUACUAAGUGUUCUCGCCACCCCACCCCCACCCCCCGCCCAAGGAAUUUACAACCGUGGGCCUUACUUAGCUUCUUUGUAGAAUAAAUGCAUUAAAAAAAAAAUCCGACAGCCCUUUGGAGGUGAAGUUCCCAUUAUCGAGGAAGUCGAGGCAGCAAAGACACGAGGCCUGGGCGUGUUGCAGAAACUAUGGCAUUUGUUGACAUUUCUUGUGUGUCUGCGAGGUGCUGCCCGGAUGGCCGCAUUCUUGCUCACUCUGAAAAAGUAAACACGCUCACAGCGCACCCCAAUUACUGCCGCUGCCUGAGAACAAUGCUAUCAAAGAAGCGGGCGCUGUGUUACAGACGCGAUCAGCAGGAGAGGAAAGUAAAGCAUAGGACGGUGCAGCCCGCGAUAGCCG
Molecule: long non-coding RNA, 850 nt
Organism: Nyctereutes procyonoides (raccoon dog)
Lineage: Eukaryota; Metazoa; Chordata; Mammalia; Carnivora; Canidae
Exons: 3
Source: RefSeq, a predicted model, not a curated record